RNAcentral lists this small RNA (28 nucleotides) under Bombyx mori (domestic silkworm). Its description in RNAcentral is "ovarian small RNA-21364". Lineage: Eukaryota; Metazoa; Arthropoda; Insecta; Lepidoptera; Bombycidae. The record is from RNAcentral.
UACUCCAAACUUGUCCCGUGCUGCCAUG